UUUACGGAGAGUUUGAUCCUGGCUCAGGAUGAACGCUGGCGGCGUGCUUAACACAUGCAAGUCGAACGAUGAAGCCCAGCUUGCUGGGUGGAUUAGUGGCGAACGGGUGAGUAACACGUGAGUAACCUGCCCUUGACUCUGGGAUAAGCCUGGGAAACUGGGUCUAAUACCGGAUAGGAACGUCCACCGCAUGGUGGGUGUUGGAAAGAUUUAUCGGUCAUGGAUGGACUCGCGGCCUAUCAGCUUGUUGGUGAGGUAAUGGCUCACCAAGGCGACGACGGGUAGCCGGCCUGAGAGGGUGACCGGCCACACUGGGACUGAGACACGGCCCAGACUCCUACGGGAGGCAGCAGUGGGGAAUAUUGCACAAUGGGCGAAAGCCUGAUGCAGCGACGCCGCGUGAGGGAUGACGGCCUUCGGGUUGUAAACCUCUUUCAGUAGGGAAGAAGCGAAAGUGACGGUACCUGCAGAAGAAGCACCGGCUAACUACGUGCCAGCAGCCGCGGUAAUACGUAGGGUGCGAGCGUUAUCCGGAAUUAUUGGGCGUAAAGAGCUCGUAGGCGGUUUGUCGCGUCUGUCGUGAAAGUCCGGGGCUUAACCCCGGAUCUGCGGUGGGUACGGGCAGACUAGAGUGCAGUAGGGGAGACUGGAAUUCCUGGUGUAGCGGUGGAAUGCGCAGAUAUCAGGAGGAACACCGAUGGCGAAGGCAGGUCUCUGGGCUGUAACUGACGCUGAGGAGCGAAAGCAUGGGGGAGCGAACAGGAUUAGAUACCCUGGUAGUCCAUGCCGUAAACGUUGGGCACUAGGUGUGGGGACCAUUCCACGGUUUCCGCGCCGCAGCUAACGCAUUAAGUGCCCCGCCUGGGGAGUACGGCCGCAAGGCUAAAAACUCAAAAGGAAUUGACGGGGGCCCGCACAAGCGGCGGAGCAUGCGGAUUAAUUCGAUGCAACGCGAAGAACCUUACCAAGGCUUGACAUGUUCUCGAUCGCCGUAGAGAUACGGUUUCCCCUUUGGGGCGGGAUCACAGGUGGUGCAUGGUUGUCGUCAGCUCGUGUCGUGAGAUGUUGGGUUAAGUCCCGCAACGAGCGCAACCCUCGUUCCAUGUUGCCAGCACGUAAUGGUGGGGACUCAUGGGAGACUGCCGGGGUCAACUCGGAGGAAGGUGGGGACGACGUCAAAUCAUCAUGCCCCUUAUGUCUUGGGCUUCACGCAUGCUACAAUGGCCGGUACAAUGGGUUUGCGAUACUGUGAGGUGGAGCUAAUCCCCAAAAAGCCGGUCUCAGUUCGGAUUGGGGUCUGCAACUCGACCCCCAUGAAGUCGGAGUCGCUAGUAAUCGCAGAUCAGCAACGCUGCGGUGAAUACGUUCCCGGGCCUUGUACACACCGCCCGUCAAGUCACGAAAGUCGGUAACACCCGAAGCCGGUGGCCUAACCCCUUGUGGGGGAGCCGUCGAAGGUGGGACCAGCGAUUGGGACUAAGUCGUAACAAGGUAGCCGUACCGGAAGGUGCGGCUGGAUCACCUCCUUUCUAAGGA
This 1536-nucleotide ribosomal RNA is filed under the name Micrococcus luteus. RNAcentral's name for it is "bacterial SSU rRNA". It matches the Rfam family "Bacterial small subunit ribosomal RNA". The record is from RNAcentral. Lineage: Bacteria; Bacillati; Actinomycetota; Actinomycetes; Micrococcales; Micrococcaceae.